Molecule: long non-coding RNA, 2297 nt
Organism: Gallus gallus (chicken)
Lineage: Eukaryota; Metazoa; Chordata; Aves; Galliformes; Phasianidae
Source: Ensembl
CGCUAACACGCCGGGAAAAGGGAAGAGCCGGUCCUCUCGCUCCGGCCCCGGGAGACCGCGACCCGCAGGCGUGAGGCGGCGUGAGCCGCGGCUUCAGGGUUGUCUACAUACCCCGCUGCGCGCCGUCGUUUUGUGCCUGCGGGAAAAGUUCGCGCCGUGCGCGCCUCCCGCCCGCGGCAACGGGGCAUGGCCGCAGCGGUCGCGUUCCCGGGACGGAUCUCGGCCGGGAGGAACGGCCGCAGCCUGCGGUCGCCGCUUCACUGCAGUCCCCAUUUCAGGGCUGGCUGCCACUGGGGAAGGAUAUUUUCCUGGAGAUCUCUUCUUGGGGAAGCUUUCCCUUGUAAACCUGGAAUCUUUUGAUAUGGGUAAGUAAUUUUCUUCACAGCAUCUUUCUUUUGUGCCUUUCGUGUUCAUCUGUCUAAUUGCUACUAGUAAAGAAAGCAAGGUCUUUUCUUUUGCUUUCAUGGGUGUUUAAUUAUUUGUAUCCUUUUUCUGUAUAACAGCUUCCAGUUACAGAACCCAUAUUCCUCACUGUCUAGGUGAUGUUGUAAUGUAACAAAAAAUACAAAGCAGUUUCCGCAUGAAGGUGCUGAACUUGAUUUUUUUUUUUCGCUUUCUAGAUAAGAACUCAGUUGACUACAGAAAGCUGCAGUGAUUGUACUUAAUACCUAACUCUUUUUAUACAUCCAAGUUGUAGGUUGUGUUUUUCAUGAUAAUAUUACUUAAGAAUGAUGUGGCACUUCUCUGUUUAGCCUAAACUGGGUGUUUUCUUAUUUUCUGUGCUCUGAGUAUUUACAUUUGUUUCCUUAAUAUUCUUCAUGUGUUCUAACAUGAAUGGCCGUGUUAAAGUUUCAAGGCAGCUUACAAAGGGUUUACCCAAACUUUCUGCAGUUAGUUCUAUAAUAUUUUGAGGAUAGUCAUUUGUUUUGUUAUAACAUAGCUGACACUUGAUCUCAUUUAUUAUUAAGUCAAAGGCUACUUAGACACCGAUUCCUUUAUAUUAAUGCCUUAAAUACAGAAUUGAAUUUAAGGCUGUGUUUCCUUUGUAUGCUUAAGUUGAUUUACUGGGUAACCGGAGAAAAAAGGGAAAUCCCAUUCAUUUUACAUCUCCAUUCUUUUGACUUUCAAACAUCUACUUGUCCUUAAGGCAUACUGUGACUUUAUUUCAGUUAAAGUCAUAAUGAAAUACUACCCCCCACCAAGAUGUGUUGUUUUUAUCAAUUAAGUGAUACAAAUUCACACACACAAAAAUCAUAGAGAAUGGGAGCCUAUGUAAAGGAAGGCUGUAAUCUUUGACUAUCCAUUAGUGGAGUAACAACACUAAAGGAGGAGUGAGGAAGGGGCAAAGGUAUGAGCAAGUGGAAAAGGCAAUGAGACUACCUUUGGGUAGUCACGAGCUCAGCUGUUUAAGCCUAAGUACAGAAAACUAAGUCUGUAAAUAGUAAAAAGCAUAUGCCCUGAUCUAGUCCUUACACCAGAACAUCACUACCCUGCGCAAGUAUUUGUACCUUUGAAUAGGCUUGUUGCUAGGUGGGAAGAAAGGGCUGUUAAUGCUGAUAGUGCAGAUCAGUUUGUGGUACCACUGAGUGACACUUUGUAGACACCUUGAAGAUGGGAGCAUUCUCUUCUCCUUGCUGAACAGCCCCAACUCUCUGUCUGUCCUCAUGGGGAAAGCGUUUCAUCCCUUGGAUCAUUGGACCAUUAUUAUGAGUGUAAUGAGUGAGAAGCAUGUGGACUCUGAUUGCAGUGGUACUUAAUCCCCAAACUUAUACUUAAAUCCUGUUUGUUUCCUACUCAAUUCAGUAUCUGCUGAAGCAAGAUAGCUUUUGGAUUUAGCUCACUGCAAAUUCACAUUAAGUUCUGAAAGAAAUUUCAUUAGCAAACCAUCCUUACUCUAUUCAAGAUCAGUUUUAAUCUUAAGGCUACUAAGAGCAUCAAUCUUCAUUCUUCUUUCACUAACAAUAUUGCAAACAAUGGUUUCUGGAGACUGUGAUCUCUGACCUUCAUCUGCAUUUAACAACAGCUUAACUUCCACAUUUUGUUCAGCACAGCAUUCACAAGAAAGUCUUCUAAAUCAGCCCCUGCCAGCUGCUAUUCAGUAUGUAAGACCUACUCUUAUUGUAAAAACUUUUUCCCACGUUUCACUGUUUCAGGAGUAAAAUGGAAAAAUGUAUUUAAAAAUUUUUAUUUAUUUAUUCUUCUGAUUUUUAGUGAGAAUUGAAAAUUGCAAGCCUGCUAUGCGUUCCCUUCCUAUGUCUUCCUGCGAAGUACAGGUAAAUGACAGUCAAAACACAAAA